ACCUGCAUUCGAAAGUGACCGCGGUCUUGCCUGUGGCCUGGUCAUCGAUAGUGCAGGGAGAGAAACGCUGAAAGCUUUCCCGUGUUUGCGAGAGGUGUGUCCCUUCCCUCCCAAACCCUGUUGCUGUCAGACA
Molecule: small nucleolar RNA, 133 nt
Filed under: Colius striatus (speckled mousebird)
Lineage: Eukaryota; Metazoa; Chordata; Aves; Coliiformes; Coliidae
Description: Small nucleolar RNA SNORA71
Rfam family: Small nucleolar RNA SNORA71
About the family: The members of this family belong to the H/ACA class of snoRNAs which bind a number of proteins (including dyskerin, Gar1p and Nop10p) to form snoRNP complexes. This class of snoRNAs are thought to guide the sites of modification of uridines to pseudouridines by forming direct base pairing interactions with substrate RNAs. This family includes U71 (SNORA71), ACA39 (SNORA39) and ACA60 (SNORA60).
Source: Rfam by way of RNAcentral